RNAcentral lists this long non-coding RNA (1020 nucleotides) under Apteryx haastii (Great spotted kiwi). Its description in RNAcentral is "lncRNA (ENSAHAG00000002356.1)". The record is from RNAcentral. Lineage: Eukaryota; Metazoa; Chordata; Aves; Apterygiformes; Apterygidae.
GUUCCUGCUCGAUGGAGGAGCCCAAAGCGGCCGCAGCGGAGCGCGAGUGACGGCGAGCGUAGCUAGAGACGCGUAACGCGGGCGCUAAAACGCUGAUUAAAAGCCGGCGGUAAUUGCCGGGUUGUGACGAGGCCUUGAGCAACCCGUCGCGCCUUUGAAGCCAGUCCCGCUCGGAGCGCGAGGUUCAACCGGAGACCUCCGGACGUCCCUUUCCACCUAAAUUACUUAUCGCUGGGGGGAAGGCGAGUCUGGCUUCCGUGUGACUCAGGUAUUUCUUUCGAUAGUAGCUUCGAAAAUGAAGGUCAGAGGGCUCAGCUGGUGAAGACGUACGGAACGCCUCAACGGGGCGACUCUGAUUUAAGCAGACGCUCGGGCCCGAUUCCUGGGGAAGGAGCAGCGACCUGGUUUGGCCGGAAGGAACGCGGAACGGGAGAGAAAAGCGGUCGAAGGCGAGAGCCGAGCUCGCCCCUUAACGGGCCUUUGAGCGGCGACACCUCUUCCCUCUCAGUAAUAAGGGAGCUGCCGGGAAUGGGAUUUCAUUCCCUACGUAUAUGCGGACGUCCGUCUGCACCGGUCGCUCGGGGCUUCUCUUUUCAGGUGAAUCGCCCCGGAAAAAGCCGCUGUCUCGUCUCGCUAGACGCUGCCUCCUUUAGGAGCAACUUGCAUGUUGUAUAAUUAGGGAGCCAAAGCCCAAACUGUUUAAAUUUCCUCCGACAGCAGCCUCCGUGUGGGGAAAACACGAUUUCUUUCCCGCUUUCGUAUCCCAGCGCGUGUUGUCAUAUCACCGGGGUUGUGUUAAAGUAUUUCUGUGCUAACGUUGGAGCCAGCAACGCCGCCGGCUCUGCUCGCGAAACCCAGCCUGAAGCUUAGUCCAGCUUGUUUCCAGGUUCUCCGGCAGAAACGGAGUCCGCUGCUUGAUUUCCGUGAAAACACUUGCCACCGCACCAAAGCCUCGACCGUCUUUUCGCUUCUGCGUCGCGCCGGCAUGAAUAAACAGUCUAAAGUAGCUGUGGUUAGACA